AAAGAAAGUAAGACAGUGCCCUCUCCCCUCAAGUCCUCAAAGUCAAACUUCCAAAGUUCAAUCUAGAGCAACAACACCCUUACGAAAGCUCUUUUUUAGUUGCAUAGUUCGAUUUUUUUUCUUCUUGUUAGUUAUCAUUUUAUCGUAGUCACUCAGUUGUUUGUUGGUCUUGAAGCUUAUUUGAUUUGUUGAGAUGUCAUUACUCAUAUGGUUUAUGUAACCAUGCAGUUAAGUGUAUGUAGCUAACAAACAAUUUUUGUUUAUGAAAUGAAUAUAUUCAUUUAUUUAUUUGACUAAAAACAAAGUGAAUAUAUUUAUCCUUUAAAUCAUUUAAUGACUUUAUACGAUAAUAUAGCUAUUAAUUAGAGUGAGGCUGAAUAUCUUCUCUUAUUUGCUUGCUAUAUUACAUGUUUAUCAACCAUAAUGGAAUUCCAACAUCUAGAACUUAUAUGUAGCCAUCUUUUGGAUCUACUAAUUGGCAACAUGUUGCCACUUGCAGUUUCAAACUUUGUCCUGCUCUGAAGGAUCCAUAUGAAAUGGAUUCAACUUUUUUUCGGUGUCUUGUUGGAAGUGCUUAUUAUGCACUUUUUCAUUAGUGUAUGCAUAUUAGAAAAGUACUUGUUAUGCUUUAGUUAUGUUGUAAAAUUGUUGAUUAUUCUUCUAUCUAAUUAAAUUUUUUUUUGAACAAUCUAUCUAAUCAAAAUUACACAAGCCUCUAACUACUUGAAGAGAUUUUGCUUCACAUUACUCUAUUUUGCUUUUGUAAGGGCUGCCUGCAUUUAUCAUUGGUUUUGUAUCUGCACUUUCUGCCCUUUCUCUUUAUACAUGUCCUGUUCUCAAGUCCUCAAACUUACCUUCCAAAGCGCUUUGUCUAGUUGCAUAGUUCUUUGACCCUUUUCAAACUGUUUUCUUCUUUUUAAUUAUCUUUUUAUCGUAGUCAUUCAACUGUUUGAUGAUCUUAAAACUUAUUUGAUUUGUUGAGAUGUCAUUACUCUUAUGGUUUAUGUAACCAUGAGCUUAAGUGUGUAUAUAUAUAUAUAUAUAUAUAUAUAUAUAUAUAUAUAAUUGUGUAGGGUUAUAUGGACAUGCAUGAUUACUUGCUUAGGUUGAUUAAAGGAUACAUUAAUCAUUAGCGUGGUCCAUACAUUUGUCCACGAUCAUUUUUUAAAGGCUUAAAUAUACGAAAGUUCCCUGCACUUACGAAUCAUUUGAGUUUUAGUCCCUACACAUUAAAAACAUUUCAUUUUGACCAUGCACUUUCAUUUUACUUUUAAAAUGGUACUUGAGCCUAGUUUUUAGCUGAUGUGACAUGUUUUUUGCACAGGUGACACUGAUGAUUGUGCUUCAAACAUGCUGUCUCAUAAAAACAUUAUGGAAGGAUGAAAAUGCCCUUAAUGACCAUGGGAACAUAUGAAAUUCCAAUCUUUCCCUUCUUCCUUCACCAUCAACCUUCAAACCCAGGUCAAAACUUCCAUCUUCAUCCUUUCUUUAUCAAACCUAAUAGCUCAUACACUAGCAUUAGAAAUCUUGAAAAUUCCAAAUUCCACUCUAAAAUAAGUAACAUAAGCUAAAAGCAAAAUAAAUUUUUUGUUAUGCUUAUGCAUCAUGAUUAUAAAUGAACAGAGAGAAAGUAAUGACCUCAUAGUCAUUUUUGUGAGCACCGGGAAUCUCAAGAGCUUCAACAUCGAAAGAAUCGAUUUGAGGACCAGUGCGAAUGAGUUUUUGUUCAGCGUUAUCUUCAACUUCGGAAUCAGGUACAAUGGCGCGUCCUCUGGAUCUCAAAUCGGCGUGCUAUUCCUCUAUAUCGGGCACGUCCUCAUCUUCAUCCGCUUGGAAAACCCAUCGAUGAGUCCAUCGAGAAUCUGCCAUUGAUUUCGCAAGUGUAGAGAUCCUUUUGCAUAUAUAACUAUAUAAGGCUUUUUGAAAUAACUGAUUUCGACAAUGCAAUAUUGGGAUCCACCCUUGAGUCAAAUGUGACUGAUAGCCUCAUUGAAUUCAGCUGUAAAUUUGAAAUACUUGAGUUGGAGGAUUUUUGCUAAUUAGCACCAAGUCACCGUAGAUAAUAGCAAAUAAACAUGUCAAGUUAAAAAUUUGUUUUUUAUUUUUACCAUGAAAAUAACUGAGAUAAGGUUUAUUUUACUAUUUUUAUUUAUCAGAUUUUUAAAAUUUUGUUUUUUACUUUUACAAAUUUGUUUAUAACAAAUUAAUUAAGAGUCUAUAUUAGUGUUCCAAUCAUCGACUCAAUCAACUUAUUCUUGAAUCAUAAAAAAAGAAAAUUACCUAUGGUCAAGCUCGGGUUAGUAUUCUCUAACUUUUUGGAGGGAAAGUCACAUAUCACUUUGGCUCUACGCCUCUACCUCUCUCCUCUUUUACACUUUCUCUUUCUUUUUUUGUCUAAAGUCACACCAAAGUUAUGAGAGGCAAAGUUAGAGAAUAUUUUUCCAGCAUUCUCUAACUUUCACAUAACCAUCUAUAUUACAACUUGAUUAGUAAUUAUUCAAAUUAAUCGCAGUGAGAACGAGUUAAGCAUCAUGGAUUGGUCAAAGAUGGAGAAAUCUUUUAAUUGGUCCAAAUUAAAACAAACCUUUCUCCAAAUUUAAAGCUAAAAAUUAAGCAAAAUCAAUCGUUAGUUGGUUCAGUGGUGAUUGUCGUUGAAUUUGGUAGGGAGGACCACAGUUCGAUCCCCGCAACUGCAAUCGAGAGGGAGCUAGAACUACCUGAUGCUAGAAUUGACCCCCGAACCAGACUAAACUAACGGUAAAAGAGGAAAAAAAAACGCCUAAAAAUUAAGCAAUGAUGUCGGAAGAACAAGUACUUUUAUUCUCUUUCAAACUCACUUUGCGAAAAAGAAUCAAAGAUGGAUGGUGUACAGUGUACUGUCUACCACAAAAAAUAAAAAGAUGGAUGGAUGGUGUCUGUUAAAAUAAAAUCAAUUUUUAUCCCGCCUUAAAAUUACUUAUUUUUUAACUAGAGACAAAACAGAUUCAAUAUUGAUAUGUUUUGCAAAUAAAGCAUAAUACAUUUUAUCACAUCAUAUUUAAUUACACUAUUGCAAACAGAUUCAAUAUUGAUAUGUUUUGCAAUCACAUACUGUAUAAUUAUUGCUAUACUUUGUCUAAAGCUCUCAAAUUAUUAGAACACGUAAUCAGGUGCCAAACCAUAUGAUGCUUAACUGGUUCUCACUGUGAUUGAUUUGAUUUGACCACACUAACCCUUCCACUUUGUUCUCUCUGUGCGUGCUAGCUGUAACUGCAUUAUUCUCAGAUUUCUAUGGCUGAAAAUGCAAAGCGUCUCAUCAUCGGAAUCGACCUUGGCACCACCUAUUCUUGCGUCGGAGUCUGGCACCACGGCGGUGUCCAAAUCAUCACCAACGACCACGGCAACCGGACUACCCCUUCUUACGUUGCUUUCACCGACUCCGAACGCUUAAUUGGCGAUGCUGCCAAGAGCCAGGUCACCAGGAACCCCGUCAAUACAGUCUUCGGUAUACCAUCUAUUCAACUUUUCUUUACCUUCACAUUUUGGCUGUUCUGUUUAAAUCUAUGCAGUAGCUGUGUGGAGUGUUGGAGACAUUUGCUCUGUUGAUUUCGAUACACUUAUUGCUUAAUUAAUUGAAUUGAAUUGAAUUGAUUUGUGCUUAAUUAUUAUAGAUGCCAAGCGUUUGAUUGGAAGGAGAUUCUCUGAUGCUUCCGUUCAGAGUGACAUGAAGCUAUGGCCAUUCAAGGUUAUUGCUGGUGGUACUGGAGACAAGCCAAUGAUUGUUGUUAACUACAAGAAUGAGGAGAAGCAACUCACUGCUGAGGAGAUUUCCUCCAUGGUCCUCCUCAAGAUGCGUGAGAUCGCCGAGGAUUUUCUUGGUUCCACCGUGAAGGACGUUGUUGUCACUGUUCCAGCAUACUUCAAUGACUCUCAGCGCCAGGCCACCAAGGAUGCUGGUGUCAUUGCUGGCCUUAAUGUCAUGCGUAUCAUCAACGAACCCACUGCUGCUGCCCUUGCCUAUGGCCUUGAUAUGGAGCCUGUCGUUGACGAUGAGGAUGAAAUGAACGUUUUGAUUUUUGACCUUGGUGGUGGUACUUUUGAUGUAUCUCUUCUAUCCAUUGUAGACAGUGUCGUUGAAGUUCUUGCCACUACAGGAGACAGCCAUCUUGGAGGUGAAGACUUCGAUAACAGGAUGGUUGAGAAUUUUGUUGAGGAAUUCAAGAGGAAGCAUGAGAAGGAAAUUAGUGGGAACCCGAGGGCUUUAAGAAAGUUGAGGACCGCAUGUGAAAGGGCAAAGAGGAUACUCUCAUCCACUGUACAGACCACCAUUGAGAUUGACUCAUUGUAUGAAGGUAUUGACUUCUAUACCACAAUCACUCGUGACAGGUUUGAAGAACUCAACAUGGACCUCUUCAGCAACUGCAUGGACACUGUUGAGCGGUGUUUGAGGGACGCUAAAAUGGACAAGAGCAGUGUACAUGAUAUUGUUCUUGUUGGUGGGUCAACUAGGAUCCCAAAAGUGCAACAGUUGUUGAAGGAUUUAUUCAAUGGGAAGGAACUCUGCAAGAGCAUCAACCCCGAUGAGGCUGUUGCUUAUGGAGCUGCUCUCCAGGCUGCUAUCUUGAACGAUGUGGAGAACAAGAAGGUUCAGGAGCUUACGUUGGUGGAUGUCACUGCCCUUUCACUUGGUGUGGAAACUGUUGGUGGUGUCAUGACUGUCCUGAUUCCAAAGAACCGUCCAAUCCCGUACAAGAAGGAGCAGGUUUUCUCAACCUACUCCGACAACCAGCUUAGUGUGUUGAUCAGGGUCUACGAGGGUGAGAGAACCAGUACCAGGGACAACAACUUGCUUGGUAAAUUCGAGCUUUCUGGCAUCCUUCCUGCUCCAAGGGGUGUUCCUCAGAUCAAUGUUUGCUUUCAAAUUGAUCACAAUGGUAUCAUGAAUGUCUCUGCUGAAGACCAGACUACUGGGAAGAAAAACAAUAUCACUAUUACAAAUGGCGAGGGCAGGCUCUCAAAGGAGGAGAUUGAGAAGAUGGUGCAGGAGGCGGAGAAGUACAAGGCUGAGGAUGAGGAGUACAAGAAGAACGUAAAGGCCAAGAUUGCCUUGGAACUAGCGGUGGAGAGGCACAGUUUUACAAAAGAUGCUCCAGAUCAACACUCGGAGGCGGAGAAGUACGAUUCUACAAAAGAUUCUCCAUACCUACGCUUGGAGGGGCAUGUGGUACAUGAUACUCGCCAUCAGGUUACAUUACCAACCCCAAGUUUACACCCCUUCCCUUCGGGAAACUUUGGGUAUUAUUUUAACUCUACAAAAAAGGCUUCACAGAAAAUUAUAGAGGCACUAAAAGAUGAUAAAUUCUAUGUAAUUGGAUUGCAUGGAAAGAAGGGUUCUGGUAAAACAUCAUUAGUGAAAGCUGAGAUGAAUGAGUAUGAAAAGAUUUUUCAUAGAGUUAUAUUUCCCACAGUUUCCAAUAACCAAGAUGCCAAGAGCAUUCAGGAGGGAAUUGCUAGCUCGCUGAAUGUGCAUUUUGAAAGAGAUGACAGUGAUGGCUUGAGAGCAAUGAAAAUAAUUAUGGCAUUAGAAAGGAAGGAUAGAACUAUUCUGGUCAUUUUGGAUAAUUUUCCGACAAAGUCUCAACCGCAGGAAUUAGGUAUUCCUUUUAGUAGCAGACAAUGCAAGGUUCUUUUAACCACACGUGACGAGGCAGACUGUGUCUUGAUGAGAUGUGACCAUUCUAUUUCUCUGGAUCCCUUAUCUAGUGAGGAAGCUUUGACACUGCUACAAAAACUUUCUGGUGUUAACUCUCAAUCUGCUCUAUUUGAAGUGGCACAGGAAGUUGCUUCUAAAUGCAAUGGCUUACCUGGAUUGAUUGAAAAGGUGGCGACUUCCUUGAAAAAUAAAUCCUUGGAAAAUUGGAAACAAUCAUUAGUCAGUCUAAGCCACUCAACUGCCCGCUACCAGAUUUUUAUCAGUUUUAGAGGAGGCGAUACUAGACAUGUUUUUACAAACCACCUCCAUUAUGCUUUGUGCCAGAAGGGGUUCAUGACCUUCAAAGAUGAUGAAUCAUUGGAGGGUGGGGUCCCAAUUGAGAAACUUCUUGACGACAUUGAAGAAUCGAGAUUUGCAAUUGUUAUUUUAUCCAAAAAUUAUGCAGACUCUGAAUGGUGUCUCAAAGAACUGGUCAAAAUUCUUGAGUGCAAGGAUAAGGAAAGUAGGAACCAACUUGUUUUGCCAAUCUUCUAUGAAGUACCGCCCACAGACGUAAGGCAUGUACGAAAUAGUUAUGCUGAUGCCAUGGCCAAACAUGUAAACAAUGGAAAAGAUUCAUAUAUAGUUCUAACAUGGAAGAAGGCUUUAUAUGAUAUUUGUACGCUGACGGGAUUUGAAAAGCCUCAUGACUGGUAAGUAGUUUACUUAUUUACUAUUAGUUAGACUUUAUGUGUUUCUGUAAUUACACUAAAUUUAUUGUAAAAUUCUGUCAAUUAAUACAUUAAUCCACUAAAAUCUUUUACCCAAAUACAUCCUUCUUAGUUAAAUUUCAUAAAUGGUGACUCAUCUACUAGUACAACCUCUUAAUAAUUUGAUAUGUUACCUCAUUUUUUAUAUUUUAAUUAUCUUAUUAAAUGUGAUUUUGUUAACAAAAAAUAAAACAAAAAUACUUCUUGCUUCAAUGUACUUUAAGUAUCUUGUGUGAUAUCAUAUAUUUUUUGUAAAGAAUAUUCAAUCAAGGUUAGUUUUAUAUAAGUUUUAUGAAAUGGAUUGCUAGUGAAAGAAAAUGAAAUUUGAACACAUCAUGAAUUGAAAUUAUUUUUUUAUAUGCUUUGUCAGGACCAGAGAUCAAUUUAUUGAUAAGAUUGUCAAUUUUGCCUGCGAUCACAGACAUCGCUUGCAUAUACAAAGCAUGUAUAUGAACUAGAAGAGAAAUUUCAGCUUCUCUUGCAAUGAGUGCAACACAAGACAAAACAGGUUACAAAUGGUUACCUGCUCAAAAAUGGACUAUUGUGGUUGUAAUUUAUUUUGGACACAGUUCUUGGGAGAUUUUCACAAAGCAUCUGUAUGAUCCUUUGUGUAAGGAGGGAAUUCAUACCUUCUAAGAUGAUCAAUCAUUGGAGGAGAGGCCCCAAUUGAGGAACUUCUUGGAGCCAUUAAAGAAUUAAUGUUGGUGGACCACUACACUGUUUUUGGAUGAUGGAUUUAAUGGAAGGAAUGUUGUUGUCUGAAGAUGCUCCCAUGAAUUUGGUAGAUGAGUAGUGUGGUAGUGUUCCCAAUUGAUGACGGCAGUGGCGGUCGCAUUCUCGUACUCUGCCUGCACCUCUCUUUUGCUCACUCGUUCCUCUCUCUCACUUCAUCUUCUUCCAUCUCUUAAGGUGAAAUUUCAAAUACGGUUUUAUAGUUUUCGAUUUCAAAUUGGUGAAUUUGAUUCCCUGUUAUCAUGUUUUGUGGAUCUGGAUCUCAUUUAUGAUACUUACUCUGCAUUUGAACUGACUAAUUCCUUUCUCUAGUGUUUCCUUUCUCAAUGAUUUUUGUUAUCUGCUUCUUUGCCUAAUCAACUCAAUAUGCUGUGGCUGUGAAAUUUGUCAAUUUUAUGUGAUUAAUUGUAAUUCAUUAGUCAGAUAUAUAGGAAUCUUAGUACAUUUCCAUUAUGGUACUCAACCAAGAGAGCUUCAGCAUACAUUAUUGUUAUGUCUUCUUACUCAGCAUAUGGUACUAUUUUUUGUUUUGUUUUUGCAACUUGCUAGUAGCUUUUACAUACAUGAAGUGCGAUAUCUGUUAACUGAUGUUUAAUCAGUUUCUUGAUUUUGUUAGAUAGCUAACAUAUGGUGGUUAUGUCACAGUUAUGUUAUUCAUAUAUGUUAACUGAUGAAGUCAACAACACCCCACAUGUUAUGCAAUACUCACUGCUUCUGGUGGAUUUGGUGUCUUGUUGAGCAGCUGAAGAUUUCUUUCCUCCCCUGGUAAUUAUGAAUGCAUUUCUUUUCUCUUGGAGAUAUAGGUUAUUUAAUAUGCACAGAAGAAGGGUGAAAGCUAUAUUGUCCAGUGAAGUUUCCACAUCCAUUCAUGUGACGCCGUGGUUAAUUCUGAUGGAGUUGACUCCCGAACAACAAAGGAGGAAAGAAGAACAUCUGAUGAGAUCGCCGCCCUAGUUAUCCUCGAUAAUCUCAAAGCUUUAGUUCUAGACUCAUACAACAGAUUCCCCAUUGAUAAGCUUCUUGAAGCCAUUGAAGAGUCAAGGUUUGUAAUUGUUGUUUUGUCAGAAAAUUUUGCAGACUCUAAAUGGUGUCUUAAAGAACUUGUCAAGAUUCUUGAUUGUCGAAAAACGAAGAAACAAUUGGUUUUGCCAAUUUUUUAUGAAGUGGAACCAACCGACACAAGGCAUCUACAAGGGAGGUAUGGUGAAGCUAUGGCCGAACAUGAAAAAAAGUUAGCCAAAGAUUCUAAGAGGGUAUUGGAAUGGACAUUAGCUUUGAGUGAUAUUUCCCAACUGAAAGGAGAACAUUUCCGCAUUUCCAACUUCAAAGGAGAGCAUUACAAAAGGUACGUAUGUUGGCAAUUAAAUCGAAUUUUAUGUUUUUUACAAAUAUUUAAAGAUGGUGUUGGGCCGGCUGAAGAUGAAGAGUUUGACUAGCUCACAGCUUGUACACACUUUUAUUAUUAAUAUAAGUGUUGACUUUUAAAAGAAGUAAAAAAAACCUUUUAAUGAGUAAUCUAUAUCUAAAACAUAAAUGAUAAGGUGUUGUAUAUACUUUUUUACAGGUACAGAGAUCAACUUAUUGGAAAGAUCAUAAGAUUUGCCCAUAAUAACAAACAUCGCUUGCAUAUACAAAGCAUGUAUAUGAACUAGAUGAAAGACUUCUGCCAAUAUUAUAUUUGGAGCUGUUGUUGAUGAUCGUUACACCGGAGAGAUUCAUGUGACUAUCAUUGCCACUGGCUUUUCACAAUUUUUUCAGAAGAAGCUGCUAACAGAUCCAAUGGCUGCAAAACUUCUUGACAAAGUGGCCGAGGGAAAAGAAAGUAAGACAGUGCCUUCUCCCCUCAAAUCCUCAAACUUAUGUUCCAAAGUUUAAUCUAGAGCAACAACACCCUCACGAAACCUCUUUUUUAGUUGCAUAGUUCGAUUUUUUUUUCUUGUUAGUUAUCAUUUUAUUGUAGUCACUCAGUUGUUUGAUGGUCUUGAAGCUUAUUUGCUUUGAGAUGUCAUUAUUCAUAUGGUUUAUGUAACCAUGCGCUUAAGUGUGUGUAGCUCACAAACAGUUUUUGUUUGUGAAAUGGAUAUAUAUGUUGAUUAUUCUUCUAUCUAAUCAAAA
This 9288-nucleotide long non-coding RNA is filed under the name Trifolium pratense (red clover). RNAcentral's name for it is "long non-coding RNA (TPRA_LNC012000)". The record is from RNAcentral. Lineage: Eukaryota; Viridiplantae; Streptophyta; Magnoliopsida; Fabales; Fabaceae.